GGGGAAUAUUGCACAAUGGGCGAAAGCCUGAUGCAGCAACGCCGCGUGAGCGAUGAAGGCCUUCGGGUCGUAAAGCUCUGUCCUAAGGGAAUAAAGUGAGGCACGUGUGCCUUAUUGUAUGUACCUUAGGAAUAAGCAUCGGCUAACUCCGUGCCAGCAGCCGCGGUAAUACGGAGGAUGCAAGCGUUAUCCGGAUUUAUUGGGUUUAAAGGGAGCGUAGGCGGACUAUUAAGUCAGCUGUGAAAGUUUACGGCUCAACCGUGAAAUUGCAGUUGAAACUGGUCGUCUUGAGUGCAGUAAAGGUGGGCGGAAUUCGUGGUGUAGCGGUGAAAUGCUUAGAUAUCACGAAGAACUCCAAUUGCGAAGGCAGCUCACUGGAGUGUAACUGACGCUGAUGCUCGAAAGUGUGGGUAUCAAACA
Molecule: ribosomal RNA, 420 nt
Filed under: uncultured Bacteroides sp.
Lineage: Bacteria; Pseudomonadati; Bacteroidota; Bacteroidia; Bacteroidales; Bacteroidaceae
Description: bacterial SSU rRNA
Rfam family: Bacterial small subunit ribosomal RNA
Source: RNAcentral